CCUACGGGAGGCAGCAGUGAGGAAUAUUGGUCAAUGGACGAGAGUCUGAACCAGCCAAGUAGCGUGAAGGAUGACUGCCCUAUGGGUUGUAAACUUCUUUUAUAUGGGAAUAAAAUGUUCCACGUGUGGGAUUUUGUAUGUACCAUAUGAAUAAGGAUCGGCUAACUCCGUGCCAGCAGCCGCGGUAAUACGGAGGAUCCGAGCGUUAUCCGGAUUUAUUGGGUUUAAAGGGAGCGUAGGUUGAUUGUUAAGUCAGUUGUGAAAGUUUGCGGCUCAACUGUAAAAUUGCAGUUGAAACUGGCAGUCUUGAGUACAGUAGAGGUGGGCGGAAUUCGUGGUGUAGCGGUGAAAUGCUUAGAUAUCACGAAGAACUCCGAUUGCGAAGGCAGUUCACUGGACUGCAACUGACACUGAGGCUCGAAAGUGUGGGUAUCAAACAGGAUUAGAUACCCUUGUAGUC
This 460-nucleotide ribosomal RNA is filed under the name uncultured bacterium. RNAcentral's name for it is "partial 16S ribosomal RNA". It matches the Rfam family "Bacterial small subunit ribosomal RNA", at positions 338 to 795 of the family's 1533-position model. The record is from RNAcentral.